AGUUUGAUCCUGGCUCAGGAUGAACGCUAGCUACAGGCUUAACACAUGCAAGUCGAGGGGCAGCAUGGUCUUAGCUUGCUAAGGCCGAUGGCGACCGGCGCACGGGUGAGUAACACGUAUCCAACCUGCCGUCUACUCUUGGACAGCCUUCUGAAAGGAAGAUUAAUACAAGAUGGCAUCAUGAGUCCGCAUGUUCACAUGAUUAAAGGUAUUCCGGUAGACGAUGGGGAUGCGUUCCAUUAGAUAGUAGGCGGGGUAACGGCCCACCUAGUCUUCGAUGGAUAGGGGUUCUGAGAGGAAGGUCCCCCACAUUGGAACUGAGACACGGUCCAAACUCCUACGGGAGGCAGCAGUGAGGAAUAUUGGUCAAUGGGCGAGAGCCUGAACCAGCCAAGUAGCGUGAAGGAUGACUGCCCUAUGGGUUGUAAACUUCUUUUAUAAAGGAAUAAAGUCGGGUAUGCAUACCCGUUUGCAUGUACUUUAUGAAUAAGGAUCGGCUAACUCCGUGCCAGCAGCCGCGGUAAUACGGAGGAUCCGAGCGUUAUCCGGAUUUAUUGGGUUUAAAGGGAGCGUAGAUGGAUGUUUAAGUCAGUUGUGAAAGUUUGCGGCUCAACCGUAAAAUUGCAGUUGAUACUGGAUAUCUUGAGUGCAGUUGAGGCAGGCGGAAUUCGUGGUGUAGCGGUGAAAUGCUUAGAUAUCACGAAGAACUCCGAUUGCGAAGGCAGCCUGCUAAGCUGCAACUGACAUUGAGGCUCGAAAGUGUGGGUAUCAAACAGGAUUAGAUACCCUGGUAGUCCACACGGUAAACGAUGAAUACUCGCUGUUUGCGAUAUACGGCAAGCGGCCAAGCGAAAGCGUUAAGUAUUCCACCUGGGGAGUACGCCGGCAACGGUGAAACUCAAAGGAAUUGACGGGGGCCCGCACAAGCGGAGGAACAUGUGGUUUAAUUCGAUGAUACGCGAGGAACCUUACCCGGGCUUAAAUUGCAGAUGAAUUACGGUGAAAGCCGUAAGCCGCAAGGCAUCUGUGAAGGUGCUGCAUGGUUGUCGUCAGCUCGUGCCGUGAGGUGUCGGCUUAAGUGCCAUAACGAGCGCAACCCUUGUUGUCAGUUACUAACAGGUUCCGCUGAGGACUCUGACAAGACUGCCAUCGUAAGAUGUGAGGAAGGU
RNAcentral lists this ribosomal RNA (1169 nucleotides) under uncultured Bacteroides sp. RNAcentral describes it as "bacterial SSU rRNA". It matches the Rfam family "Bacterial small subunit ribosomal RNA", at positions 10 to 1174 of the family's 1533-position model. Lineage: Bacteria; Pseudomonadati; Bacteroidota; Bacteroidia; Bacteroidales; Bacteroidaceae. The record is from RNAcentral.